This 76-nucleotide transfer RNA is filed under the name Caudoviricetes sp. Its description in RNAcentral is "tRNA-Arg". It matches the Rfam family "tRNA". From Rfam's summary of the family: Transfer RNA (tRNA) molecules are approximately 80 nucleotides in length. Their secondary structure includes four short double-helical elements and three loops (D, anti-codon, and T loops). Lineage: Duplodnaviria; Heunggongvirae; Uroviricota; Caudoviricetes. The record is from RNAcentral.
GCACCCAUAGGCUAAUUGGACAAACCCAAAGUCUUCUAAACUUUUAUUACAGGUUCGAGUCCUGUUGGGUGUGCCA